UACGAAGGGGGCUAGCGUUGCUCGGAAUUACUGGGCGUAAAGCGUGCGCAGGCGGUUGUGCAAGACAGAUGUGAAAUCCCCGGGCUCAACCUGGGAAUUGCAUUUGUGACUGCACGGCUAGAGUGUGUCAGAGGGGGGUAGAAUUCCACGUGUAGCAGUGAAAUGCGUAGAGAUGUGGAGGAAUACCGAUGGCGAAGGCAGCCCCCUGGGAUAACACUGACGCUCAUGCACGAAAGCGUGGGGAGCAAACAGG
Molecule: ribosomal RNA, 253 nt
Filed under: uncultured bacterium
Lineage: Bacteria
Description: partial 16S ribosomal RNA
Rfam family: Bacterial small subunit ribosomal RNA
Source: RNAcentral